UACAGAGGUCUCAAGCGUUGUUCGGAUUCAUUGGGCGUAAAGGGUGUGUAGGUGGCGCGCUAAGUCGGGUGUGAAAUUUCGGAGCUUAACUCCGAAACUGCAUUCGAUACUACCGUGCUUGAGGACUGGAGAGGAGACUGGAAUUUACGGUGUAGCGGUGAAAUGCGUAGAUAUCGUAAGGAAGACCAGUGGCGAAGGCGGGUCUCUGGACAGUUCCUGACGCUGAGGCACGAAGGCCAGGGGAGCAAACGGG
RNAcentral lists this ribosomal RNA (253 nucleotides) under uncultured bacterium. Its description in RNAcentral is "partial 16S ribosomal RNA". It matches the Rfam family "Bacterial small subunit ribosomal RNA", at positions 524 to 776 of the family's 1533-position model. The record is from RNAcentral.